RNAcentral lists this ribosomal RNA (819 nucleotides) under uncultured eukaryote. RNAcentral describes it as "SSU rRNA". It matches the Rfam family "Eukaryotic small subunit ribosomal RNA", at positions 629 to 1426 of the family's 1831-position model. The record is from RNAcentral.
CGGUGUUUAACUGGCGUGAUGUGGGACGUCCUACCGGUGGGCUUAGCCUCGCGAGGGGCGGCCCAACUAAUAUCCCGUCGCGGUGCUCUUUACUGAGUGUCGAGUCGGGCCGGUACGUUUACUUUGAACAAAUUAGAGUGCUUAAAGCAGGCUAUCCUCGCCUGAAUACUGCGUGCAUGGAAUAAUGGAAUAGGACCUCGGUUCUAUUUUGUUGGUUUUCGGAACCCCGAGGUAAUGAUUAAUAGGGACAGAUGGGGGCAUUCGUAUUGCGACGUUAGAGGUGAAAUUCUUGGAUCGUCGCAAGACGGACAGAAGCGAAAGCAUUUGCCAAAAAUGUUUUCAUUAAUCAAGAACGAAAGUUAGAGGUUCGAAGGCGAUCAGAUACCGCCCUAGUUCUAACCAUAAACGAUGCCAGCUAGCGAUCCGCCGAAGUUCCUCCGAUGACUCGGCGGGCAGCUUCCGGGAAACCAAAGCUUUUGGGUUCCGGGGGAAGUAUGGUUGCAAAGCUGAAACUUAAAGGAAUUGACGGAAGGGCACCACCAGGAGUGGAGCCUGCGGCUUAAUUUGACUCAACACGGGAAACCUCACCAGGCCCAGACACCGGAAGGAUUGACAGAUUGAUAGCUCUUUCUUGAUUCGGUGGGUGGUGGUGCAUGGCCGUUCUUAGUUGGUGGAGCGAUUUGUCUGGUUAAUUCCGAUAACGAACGAGACUCUAGCCCGCUAAAUAGGCGUACCUUAUGGUAUCGCGAAGGCCCCCGGCUUCGGCCGGUGGGUUUUUACUACCAACGUACAAACAAAUCUUCUUAGAGGGACAGGCGG